RNAcentral lists this small nuclear RNA (113 nucleotides) under Podarcis muralis (Common wall lizard). RNAcentral's name for it is "U5 spliceosomal RNA (ENSPMRG00000007322.1)". It matches the Rfam family "U5 spliceosomal RNA". From Rfam's summary of the family: U5 RNA is a component of both types of known spliceosome. The precise function of this molecule is unknown, though it is known that the 5' loop is required for splice site selection and p220 binding, and that both the 3' stem-loop and the Sm site are important for Sm protein binding and cap methylation. The record is from Rfam by way of RNAcentral. Lineage: Eukaryota; Metazoa; Chordata; Lepidosauria; Squamata; Lacertidae.
ACCAUAGCUUCUCUUCAGAUCAUAUAAAUCUUUCUCCUUUUACUAUAGAUUUCCAUGGAGAGUGAGCUGUUCUGCCAGGCUUAGUGUAUGUCACUUCCUCUUACCUUGGGAGG